GAAAUGGGAUGAAUGAUCGCGGCGAAAGCUGAGGAAAGUCCGGACUUCACAGGGCAGGGUGCCGGGUAACACCCGGAAGGAGUGAUCCUUGAUAAGGGCCAUAGAAAUGAAAACCGCCCGAAAGGGCAAGGAUGGAAAGGCGAGGUAAGAGCUCACCAGCUGCCGAGUAAUCGGCAGGCUCGGUAACCUCCACCCGAAGCAAGACCAAGUCGAGGGGCUAUAAGGUGGCCCGCCAACCCUCUGGUAGGUCGCUUGAGGGAUGUGGAAACGCAUCUCGGAGAUAGAUGAUCAUUCAAGACAGAAUCCGGCUUACAGUCCCAUUUCCUUA
Molecule: RNase P RNA, 328 nt
Filed under: Mesoaciditoga lauensis
Lineage: Bacteria; Thermotogati; Thermotogota; Thermotogae; Mesoaciditogales; Mesoaciditogaceae
Description: RNase P RNA component class A
Rfam family: Bacterial RNase P class A
About the family: Ribonuclease P (RNase P) is a ubiquitous endoribonuclease, found in archaea, bacteria and eukarya as well as chloroplasts and mitochondria.
Source: RNAcentral